AAAAAAAAAAAAAAAGGACUCCUUUUAAAUAAGGGAUGUUGUCUGCCUGCAUAUUAGAUAAUUUAGAUGGCAUAGGGCAACAUUCAUACAGAGAUACAAACGGCAGUCGGCAGUUAUAGACAGAUAGACGGAAUGACGGCCGACAAUUGGAAUGGAAAAACUGUACGGUGCAAUUAGAGAAGAAAAUCUUCCAGAUUUCUAUGCAAAACUCCAACGGAGAAGUCGAUUUUCGUGCAAUACCGUAGCAAUCUGGGAGGAGGAGUGGAUCCAGCUCGUGAAACACAUCUAUCGGGCAAAGCUAUUUGUUGUUGGUGUUUGCAGAGAAGGGUAUUUCGUCUCUUUUUAGUUUCUGUUUGAUUUUCUCAAGUAAUUGGUGUUGCUUCCAUUUUGUCGACAAGCUUCAACUAAGGUACUCCAUCUCGCACUGUUGUGUAGAUAGUAUAUGUGAUUCUUGCAAACAUUUUUGCUUCUAAAUUAUUAUUUGAUUUUUUAUUAAUUGAGUUAUUGUUGGGAAUUGAAUUCUUGAGUUCCUGAGGUUUCAGGGAAUUGAAUUCUUGAGGUUUCGGGAAAAUAAUGAAUUCUCCCUAACAUAUGAAGAAAGCAAAAGUCGUCCUAUAGUAGUAAAUAAUAGUUAGAUUUCAACUGGAGACUAAUUUUACCAAUAGAAACCCGAAGAAGAAAACCAGACGCUAUGCAUUAACCAUUGCUUUUUUUGCCUUAUUACAACCAGUGUACUGGGCUAGUUAGAUUCUGAACACUGGCUAAUUUAGAAGUUGAAUGGCAAAUUGAAAACAAGAAGUGAAACGUAUCUCAAUAUUCAACAUGCAGAAACAGAAAGAGUUUCAAGGAAGCUUUUUAUUUGUUUAAUUCAUUGUAUAAAUACAUAGACGUACAAGUUAGAUUUUGAUUCUUAUACUGUAUAGCAGUAAUGUCCUUUUGUUAUUGUUUUCAAAUGUGUUGAAAGGAAAAUUAGUAAUAGUAGUGAGGUUUACAUUAUUAACAAAUUGAGAUAUGAGGUGCAUCUAUUAAUAUAUGUUGAAAUAUUGCAACUGUCCAAUAACAUAUGUAAACAUUUUACUUACACAUUUACAGAAAACAUUGAUUCUGAUCUAACACACGAUGUAAUAAUGUUCUGUCAACAGAGAAAAAUGAGUUGUCAGGACGAUGACAUUCUACUGUUCCCAAAUUCUGUUAAGGUUCUUGAAUGUUUCCAAAAGUAUGCUAAUUCUGGUAGUUUAAGGUGCAACUUUUGUGGAUAAGGAGAGCACAUGCGACUGCUAUUUGAUUAAUCUUUUGUUCUUGGCAUUUAGAUUUCCCCCAUGAAGGGAUAAGACACUGAUAGGGAACAAUUAUGGGUCCACAUGCAAAACUAUUUUAUUUGGAGAUUAUGUGGUUGAAACGAGUUUGGGAAAAAUGAGUUUUAGAAAAUAGGAGUCCUACAGGGCAUAAAUAAGAUGACAUCAACUACAAUUCAUAACAAAAGAUGAACCAGAUUAUAGGUUAUAAAUAUGAUCUGUGAUUUAGCUAAUUAUGAUCCAUGUGCCUACACAAUUUUACUAGUAUCUGAACCUCCUUAACACUAUGUUGGAUAGAUGAGAUAUUGUUUUCCGGUGUCUUCUUUCCCUUUAGUGUGAAUUUUUAGUAAAUAAGAUGUGACAUUGCGCACAGAGUUAACCGAGGAGGGAACAAUAAAUGACCAUUUAUAGAAGUAGAAUAGCAUUAUAGGAAAGCUUAAAAAUUAAAACUGAAAAGAAGGCUGUGGCCAUAAAUCAUUAGCUUUUACCCAAAUGGGAGGGAGUGUUUUUUGCAUUUGCAACGAGGAAAGACGUUGCAAUAUCUUCACAAUUCAAAGUACAAAGUCAGAUGCUUUUGUAAAAGAAGGCAGCUUUAGAGAGAACCAUCUGUAUGUACCAGACCCAGGUUACAACCCUCAAGCAAAUUGACAAUAUCACUCUUUCUCAUGUGCUUUGUGAUGCCACUUAGUCUCCCAUAAACCAAACCUGACAAAAGAACACAGUACAAGUCUCAAAAGCUUAGAAGGGUAAAACUCCAUCAGCUCUGAUUUCAUUUAAAAAAAAAAUUAUCAAAGCACGAAUUAUUAGAGCAUUUUUUUUUUUUGUCAGGGAAAAAAUAAGAAGUCUGGGCAUAAAACACAGUUUUAAUUCCCCUCUACGAUUCUUUCUACGAUUCUUGUUUCUUCAUUAUUUUGUUUUAGAUCUCGGGCAUUUAUUUUAUUCCCUUAAAAUUUUUCCCUAUUAUAAAAAAUAAAGCAAUAACUUCCUUUGUAUUGCUUGGAGGGGAUUGUUUCUAUAUAUUUAGAUAUCGAUACAUCUGCCAGACUGGUAUUAUUAUUGCCAGGUUGUAUAUUUGCUGUUUUUCUAAAAAUUAGUAACUACAUAUCAUGUAUGGUCUAGGUGAAUAAAGUGAUAUACAUGAUGGAUAGCAGUUGGGUGCGACUUCGUAAUAGAUUAAGUGAAGAAUAUUUAGAUGGUAUUAAUUCAUUUAUGGAGGUAGCCAAACAAUGUCUGGAUGAGAACAAUGAGGUUCGCAGUCCAUGUCAAAAUUGUCGAAAGGCAUUCUUUCAGUCACUAGAUGUGGUAGAAUCUCACUUAUACCACUCUGGAAUCUCCGCAAGUUACGAGAGAUGGAUUUUUCAUGGAGAGGAACUUGAGAAUAAUAUGGAGGGUGUUGAAAGAAAUACAUUUGAAUUUGACGAAGAAGAAAAGAAUGAUGAGAGGAAUGAUAUGUUAGAAGAUCUAUGUGCUCCCAUGUCAUCCAAAGCUAACUAAACUCGAGAGGAGGAAGAACAUGGAGGAAAUCAUAAUUUCUCGCCUCAAAUGCCUAAUGAAGAUAGCAACCAGUUUGUGGAGAUGAUAAAUGAAGCCUAAUGAACUUUGUUUCCUGGCUCUGAAAUGUCAUUAUUGAACUUUAUGGUGAUAGUGAUAUCAGUAAGUAAAACAUUCUUUAUAUAUAUUGUUUUUUUUUUUUUGGCGUAAUGUUUUUCUAUUUUAUUUUUUAAUGUCUAUCUACAUUUUUUUUCCUUUCCUUUGUAUAUUCGAGUUUUGAAGAUGCAUCAUCUGAGAGUUGAUAAGAAUUUUUAUUCACAUUUAAGGUUAGAGUAAUCGACUAAUAAAAUAUUUUUGAUUACUUAUGGUAAUGGUUGUUGAUCUUGUGCUAAUAUUCAAUGUGAGAUAUUUGAAAUAUUUUAUUUAAGCUAAUAUUUCAUUACCUUCUACAUGUACCUAUUUGACUAAAUUUGUGGUGCUUUUCUUUAUAGGAAUUCUCAUUUAACCAAAGAACAUAUUGAUGGCAAAUCGGAAGCAUAUCUUGGAGUCAAGAAUAUUUUUUGGGUGUCCAGUGAGUUUUUUUGUUAUUUCUUUCACAUUUCUAGUUCUAUUUUCUAAUUUUCAAGUUUGUUGAAUCAUUCAAAGUAGUUCAACCUUGAAAUCACUAGUACUAUAGUUUAUUCGUAUUUGUUUUGAUUUUGGAGGUAACCAAGUUUGUAGAUAGUACCUUGAUUAUUUGGUUGACAACGAUAUGAUUUUGCUUUCUAUUUUGAUAUCAAUUAUAUUUUAAUAAUUGUACGUUGAAG
RNAcentral lists this long non-coding RNA (3592 nucleotides) under Olea europaea subsp. europaea. The record is from RNAcentral. Lineage: Eukaryota; Viridiplantae; Streptophyta; Magnoliopsida; Lamiales; Oleaceae.